RNAcentral lists this ribosomal RNA (415 nucleotides) under uncultured bacterium. RNAcentral's name for it is "bacterial SSU rRNA". It matches the Rfam family "Bacterial small subunit ribosomal RNA", at positions 28 to 441 of the family's 1533-position model. The record is from RNAcentral.
GAUGAACGCUAGCGGCGUGCCUAAUGCAUGCAAGUCGAACGGGAACCUUUGGAAUUAUUCUGAAGGGGAGAGUGGCGAACGGGUGAGUAACACGUUGGUGACCUGCCCCAGAGAGGGGGAUAACCAUUGGAAACGAUGGCUAAUACCCCGGAUGUCGUUGUUGUUAGAGACCAAUGACUAAAGCUCCGGCGCUCUGGGAGGGGCCUGCGGCCCAUCAGCUUGUUGGUAGGGUAACGGCCUACCAAGGCGAAGACGGGUAGGGGGCGUGAGAGCGUGACCCCCCACACUGGUACUGAAACACGGACCAGAUACCUACGGGUAGCAGCAGCAAGGAAUAUUGCCCAAUGGACGAAAGUCUGAGGCAGCAACGCCGCGUGGAGGAUGAAGGCCUUCGGGUUGUAUACUCCUUUUCUGG